Molecule: ribosomal RNA, 466 nt
Filed under: uncultured bacterium
Lineage: Bacteria
Description: partial 16S ribosomal RNA
Rfam family: Bacterial small subunit ribosomal RNA
Source: RNAcentral
GACGAACGCUGGCGGCGUGCUUAACACAUGCAAGUCGAACGGAAAGGCCCUGCUUUUGUGGGGUGCUCGAGUGGCGAACGGGUGAGUAACACGUGAGUAACCUGCCCUUGACUUUGGGAUAACUUCAGGAAACUGGGGCUAAUACCGGAUAGGAGCUCCUGCUGCAUGGUGGGGGUUGGAAAGUUUCGGCGGUUGGGGAUGGACUCGCGGCUUAUCAGCUUGUUGGUGGGGUAGUGGCUUACCAAGGCUUUGACGGGUAGCCGGCCUGAGAGGGUGACCGGCCACAUUGGGAAUGAGGUACGGCUGAGUAUCCUACGGGAGGCAGCAGUGGGGAAUAUUGCAGAAUGGGCGGAAGCCUGAUGCAGCAACGCCGCGUGCGGGAUGACGGCCUUCGGGUUGUAAUCCGCUUUCGCCGGUGACGAAGAGUGAGUGACGGUAAUGGGUAAAGAAGCGCCGGCUAACUACG